UCAAGGUAUCCCACUAUUCCCACUCCUUGAUAUUUAAUGCUUCUUUAAUUCGACGUUCACCAGAUUCGUUAGAUAUAAAUACGAAUCGUAUGAGCAAAAAAUCGAACUCCUUUUGCUUUUUCCAAUCCAGAGCUUCUGUUCAUUAUUUUACAAACCGAUCUGACCAUGGCGACCUCUCAAAUUUAUUUCUCAAAGCUGAAGGUUGGCCGCUGCAGACAGACUCUUCCAGACAAAACUGCUUUGUUUUGGGAGGCCCUAAAGGUGAUGUUUAUUGAUUCGAUGGUUAAAUCCUUAUUUCAAUAUUUGAUUUCAGAUUUAGAGUUUUAAUAUUUUUUAAAUCCAGUUGAUUAUUGUUCCUUUCAGGCGACGCUCAUCUAAGCCUCUAUCACCAUCUUAACACCUUCAAAGAUCUCCAGAGACAAGGCUCGCUGUAUGAGUUUGGUGACGCUUCUGUCGCGAUAAGAUUUACGGAUCAGACCGUCUUGGUUGAUCUCGCAUCACCAUGCCAGCCAACCGAUCUUAAGAGAACGUUUUAGGCUCUGCAAUUAUGACCAAACUCAUGACACUCACUAACACCAACUGAUUUGUUAGGUUCUGUUUCAGUACAUUCCCCUCAUAAUCACUCCAUUUUUAUUAUUUCACCUUAUUAUUGCCUUAUUUUUAUGUUUUCAUGUAGAUAUUUAUCUUACGGGAAGGUUAGGGGUAUCAUAACGUUUUCCAAUGAUGAGACCAAAGUACUCAACGCAUCAUGGGAACCAUGAAAUUUGAAAGGUAUUUGAACACCAUAGAAGUUUUAAUAUGUUGAACCGGGUCAUCUUAUCUCUGUUUCCUUGGUUUGGAAAUUCAUUAUAGUAUUAGGUUUGAUCUAUUCAGGGAGUCAUGCGUGUACCUCAGUGUAUUUGACUGCCUUGCUAAGUUCCUCAAUGAGAAGUUUGCUUCCUUCUGGUGUGGAACCAAAGGUGGUAGUGCCAGCAAACAUAAACCCAAAGUAAGUUGGAGGUCGGCUCUUUCUGAAUUGCCGCUAUCACAUUGUCUGGAAGACAUUGUUGGCAGCAUUCUGACCUUUGAAUUGAAACUCUCUCCAUUCAACUUCUCUACCAAAUAUCAAAGUUUCACCAUCUCUGGCUUUUUUAAAAGCCACCAGCGACCACCACUACCUUUGCUUGAGAAUCAUGUAAGUUAAAAUGCUGCUAUAAAGUAUCCAACGGGCUCCCGUUCUUGACUGUUCUUUGCAAUUACUCAUGGGCAGGGUGGUGAUGACAUGCCUAGUGGUAGUGCUUUGAAAAGGAGUCCUCUUGGUUUGAACAGUCGUGACCUGAACCAAAGUGGCCGCAGUGGUGAUUCGAUUGUUGAAGGCGAGAGAGCAACCACUGGUUUGAACAGACGUGCCCUGAAAAAAACUAUGUUGUUGUUUUUUUUUAAUGAUUUUCCUGGGAUUUAUGCUCUGAAUUUUAUGCUAAAAUAAUAACUCUUCGUACUCAGAUUCUAUGUUUUUAGUAUGAGAAUAACCUCUCAUCGAAAUUACUUUGGUAAUUAGGUUGAUUCUGUUAAACA
Long non-coding RNA from Brassica napus (rape), 1554 nucleotides. RefSeq lists it as uncharacterized. The transcript has 2 exons. NCBI's taxonomy places the organism in Eukaryota, Viridiplantae, Streptophyta, Magnoliopsida, Brassicales, Brassicaceae. The record is from RefSeq and is a predicted model, not a curated record.